Non-coding RNA from Picea glauca (white spruce), 121 nucleotides. The record is from Rfam. NCBI's taxonomy places the organism in Eukaryota, Viridiplantae, Streptophyta, Pinopsida, Pinales, Pinaceae.
ACAUGUCUACAACAUAGCAUUAAUGCACCAGAUCCUAUUAGAACUCCAUAGUUAAGUGUGCUCAGGCUAGAGUAGUACUGGGAUGGGUGAUGGCCCGGGAAGUCCUAGUGUUUUACAUGCC